UAUUUCAUUCCCGUUUUGCUCACUGCCGAACAAAACAACUUCUCCUCUUUCGUUGCUAUUUCAUAACCCCAAGUCUUCUACCACUGCUGCUCUCUAACAUUCAAUUGCUUGCUGCCACUUCUCAACAGGGCUACCGCUACUCCUCUGGUGCAUUUUCAAACUUCAAGCUCCUUCAUACUCCAGUAGCUACUAGUUCCAUCAGGUUUCAAGAUUAAGUCUUCAAGCUCAAACCUCAAGGCUCAAGCAAAUUUUUCCAAUUGAAAAAAAAUUGUAUGUAUAUGACGUAUUUAUGACGUCAUCCGGUUCGACUUCCAAUUGAACCCGAUCGACCUCAUUGAUCCCUGACCCCUGAAUUCGGCUGAAUAGAUGCUCGUCUUUGUGUUGCACUUCCAACUUCACUACUCACUAUUCACUAGCACUAGCAAAGCUGGCCAGCAAGGAAAAAAUCGACUGGUAGCUAUUCUUCUCAAUGGUUAAUGGCAUGCUGGUGGCACUUCUUCUCCAAGCUUAGCUUCUACCCUUGAAAUCGGACUGACUAGUGAGCCGAAAGACACUUCCAACCCUCUCUUCACUCUAGACGAAUUUAGAGAAUCAGAUUCAUAAAUAUUAUUGAACAAACUGAGAAGGUGGGUGAAAGUAAUACAAAUCCAAAUCCAGUUGAGAUGGAUGAUGAUAGUGGUAGUGACAACAACAUUGAAGAGACAAUGGAAAUGAGCCAGUCUCAACGUCCUAACCCUGCUCUUAAAGGGAAAAAAAAGGAAGCUAACUUCUGAAGUUUGGGCUUACUUUAUAAUCCUGACUCCAAAACCAAAUGAGGAAUUGAAGUGCGAAUGCAAAAAAUAUAAGCGUAUCUACUUUGUAGAGAGUAAAAAUGGGAUAGGUAACCUCCUUUGACAUAUAAAAAAAGUCAACAAAUGACAACUAAAGACAUUGGUCAAUAUUUACUUACUGCUGAUCGAGGAGCUUUGUCCACAAGAAAUUCUCAGUUUAGUCAAGAGAAAUUUAGAGAUUUAAUAAUGCAUGCAAUCAUCAGACAUAAGUUGACAUUUUCAUUUGUCGAAUAUGAGGGAGUUAGAAAUGUUUGCUCAUAUUUGGAACCACAAGUUAAACAUGUCACUUGAAACACCGCUAAGGCAUAUAUAAAAAAAUUUCAUGCUAAAGAAGUUGAUAGGUUUCGAGCUAUACUACAAUUAUGUUCGAGUCGAAUUUCUUUGACUUUUGAUGCAUGGAGCUCCAUGGUUACUGUACUUGAGUUUGAUCGUACAUUUUGUUGAUAAUAAUUGGAUGCUGCAAAAAAAAUUUCUAAAUUUUUCUUAUAUGCCUCCUCCUCAUAAUGGAGUUGCUCUAGCAAAAAAAAUUUAUAGUUUGGCUAGUGAUUAUGGCAUUGAAAAGAAAUUGUUCACCAUCACUUUGGAUAAUGCUUCUACAAAUGUUUCUUGUGUCCAAAUACUUUAGAAUCAGCUUAGGUCGAAAGGUGCUUUGGUGCAUGAUGGCAUUUUAUUUCAUGUGAGGUGUUGUGCUCAUAUUCUAAAUCUGAUUGUGCAAGAUGGUUUGAAAGAAAUUGAUGUCUCAGUGGAUAGAAUAAGGGAAUAUGUGAAAUAUGUGAAGGGUUUCCAAGUGAGAAAAGUAAUGUUUACUCAAUGCAUAGCACAAACAUCCCUUGAUUGUAAAAAGGCCUAGUUCAAGAUGUCCCAACUAGGUGGAAUUCCACUUAUAAGAUGCUUUCAAGUGCUCUUUAUUACCUUCUUGCCUUUUGUCACUUACAAUUACGUGAUUCCAAUUUUUAAUGCUGUCCAUCUUUAGAGGAGUGGGAAAGAGUUGAAAAGAUUUGCAGUUUUUUAGACAUUUUUUAUGAUGUAUCCACGGCCUUCUCAGGAUCUAAGUACCUGACUGCUAACUUGUACUUUCCUCAAGUUUUUGUGAUUCAAUUAAAGUUGUUUGAGGAGUGUAGCAGUUCUAAUGGCUUUAUGAAAAAAAUUGCUGAACAGAUGUUUGUGAAACUUGACAAAUAUUGGUCUGAGUUCAAUAUUUUGUUAGCCAUUGCUAUGGUAUUUGAUCCUAGAUACAAAUUUCAGCUUCUUGAGUUUAGUUAUAUGGUCUAGGGUUUGCAGAACUAACAAAGGUCAGGGAUGCACCUUUUAGUCUCUUCAAUGAAUAUGUUAGAGUUAGUAAGACAUCUCAGCCAUCAUCAUCCUAUUCUCGAGGUAGCAAUGACAUGAAUGAGACCUCUUUUGAUGCAGCAGAAGUACAAGGAAAACAAUCAGUGAAUGUUUUCAAGAUUUGAGGCUGGAGGAUAUAACUCAAGAUAUCAUGUAUUUGAACAUAUCAAAAGAUGAUGUCCAAUUUGUUGAAGAUCCAAACUCUAAUGUGGUCAAGCUCUAAGUCAUUGACUUUGGGUACUUAAAAAUUGCCUGCAUCCCUUGAUUUAGUGAAGUUUGGAAGUUAGAACAGGAGUAUCAGUUGACUAUUUCAGCUUGGAACCUGGACCAAUGAUUAUGUUUCAGUUUUAUGUCUAUUUUGUUGCUAUUUAGUGUUUAUGACUUGUAGCCAUCGGGAUUUGAUGAUGAAUUAAUGAUAUUGGGACUUAUUAUUAUUUAAUGUCUUUUUAGUUUUCAUGGCUUGUAGCCAUUUGGAUUUGAUGAUGAUAUUGGGAGUUCAGACUUGUGAUUACUGAUUAUCAGCUUA
This is a long non-coding RNA of Coffea arabica (coffee), 2685 nucleotides long. RefSeq lists it as uncharacterized. The record is from RefSeq and is a predicted model, not a curated record. NCBI's taxonomy places the organism in Eukaryota, Viridiplantae, Streptophyta, Magnoliopsida, Gentianales, Rubiaceae.